This 981-nucleotide ribosomal RNA is filed under the name Staphylococcus hominis. RNAcentral describes it as "bacterial SSU rRNA". It matches the Rfam family "Bacterial small subunit ribosomal RNA", at positions 28 to 987 of the family's 1533-position model. Lineage: Bacteria; Bacillati; Bacillota; Bacilli; Caryophanales; Staphylococcaceae. The record is from RNAcentral.
GAUGAACGCGGGCGGCGUGCCUAAUACAUGCAAGUCGAGCGAACAGACGAGGAGCUUGCUCCUUUGACGUUAGCGGCGGACGGGUGAGUAACACGUAGGUAACCUACCUAUAAGACUGGGAUAACUUCGGGAAACCGGAGCUAAUACCGGAUAAUAUUUCGAACCGCAUGGUUCGAUAGUGAAAGAUGGCUUUGCUAUCACUUAUAGAUGGACCUGCGCCGUAUUAGCUAGUUGGUAAGGUAACGGCUUACCAAGGCAACGAUACGUAGCCGACCUGAGAGGGUGAUCGGCCACACUGGAACUGAGACACGGUCCAGACUCCUACGGGAGGCAGCAGUAGGGAAUCUUCCGCAAUGGGCGAAAGCCUGACGGAGCAACGCCGCGUGAGUGAUGAAGGUCUUCGGAUCGUAAAACUCUGUUAUUAGGGAAGAACAAACGUGUAAGUAACUGUGCACGUCUUGACGGUACCUAAUCAGAAAGCCACGGCUAACUACGUGCCAGCAGCCGCGGUAAUACGUAGGUGGCAAGCGUUAUCCGGAAUUAUUGGGCGUAAAGCGCGCGUAGGCGGUUUUUUAAGUCUGAUGUGAAAGCCCACGGCUCAACCGUGGAGGGUCAUUGGAAACUGGAAAACUUGAGUGCAGAAGAGGAAAGUGGAAUUCCAUGUGUAGCGGUGAAAUGCGCAGAGAUAUGGAGGAACACCAGUGGCGAAGGCGACUUUCUGGUCUGUAACUGACGCUGAUGUGCGAAAGCGUGGGGAUCAAACAGGAUUAGAUACCCUGGUAGUCCACGCCGUAAACGAUGAGUGCUAAGUGUUAAGGGGGUUUCCGCCCCUUAGUGCUGCAGCUAACGCAUUAAGCACUCCGCCCGGGGGAGUACGACCGCAAGGUUGAAACUCAAAGGAAUUGACGGGGACCCGCACAAGCGGUGGAACCAUGUGGUUUAAUUCGAAGCAACGCGAAGAACCUUACCAAAUCUUGACAU